AUGCACUCCAUGUUUGUUUCUAUUGAACUUCAGAAAAAAAAAAGUUUUGUUUGGUGUUAUAGAUUGAUAGACGCCAGCAUGAACGUCACCUUAUUUUUCUUGCAUAAUAUUGAAUGAUGAUUGUAUUUACUUUCUGUUCACUGAAUGAUUUGAACAGGCUCUCUUCGGAAGGGCAAGAUUUUUUUACAUCGUAUGAUGAGGUUCACGAAAGUUUUGAUGCUAUGAAUCUUAGGGAGAACCUACUGAGGGGAAUCUACGCAUAUGGUAGAUCAUACUUUUUUCUUUUGUUACAAUUGUUCCGAUUUUAGAUAUUGAAACUAUGAUCUUUACUUUAUUUUGCAAUUUUGAUCGAUUAGUCGCAUUUUUUCAACCAUUUAGUUGACACAUGAGUGAUAAAGGUCAUUAUGGUAAAUGUCCAAGCUUUAAUUUUUUUGUAGUACAUCAUGUGGUUAUUGUCUGCGUUGAUUGAUAGGAUAUGUUUAUUUGGUAAUUACUUCAAUUAUUUCGGAGAGGUCACCUGAUUGAGUGUGUGAUUUCUGCUCAGUUAGAAGCUUAAAAUAGGAAUCUGAUGAUGCAUUGUGGCAUGGCGCCAUAUUUUUUAUUAUUAGUAUAUGUUCUGUUAAUAAAGUUGUAAAAUCUGAAAUUUUGUUUUCGUUUGAAGGAUUUGAGAAGCCUUCUGCGAUUCAACAGAGGGGAAUUGUGCCCUUCACCAAGGGACUUGAUGUAAUUCAACAAGCGCAGUCUGGAACUGGGAAGACAGCAACUUUCUGCUCAGGGAUUUUACAGCAGCUUGAUUUUGAAUUGGUUGAAUGUCAAGCCUUGGUUCUGGCACCUACUCGUGAGCUUGCACAACAGAUUGAGAAGGUUAUGCGGGCACUUGGUGAUUAUCUGAGCGUGAAAGUUCAUGCUUGUGUGGGUGGAACAAGUGUUCGUGAGGAUCAGCACAUUCUUUCAAAUGGUGUUCACGUAGUUGUUGGGACACCUGGUCGUGUUUUUGACAUGUUGAGGAGAAAGUCACUCCGCGCGGAUUACAUUAAAAUGUUUGUAUUGGAUGAGGCUGAUGAGAUGCUUUCACGAGGUUUCAAGGACCAGGUUUGUUCUUAAUUCCAGAAUUGAUAAUUUCCUAUUAGAAAGUAAAUGGAUUUUUUGCUGGCGGAGUUUUUGUUGCGGUCAUAAGCAUGCAACCUGAUUAGCGUUAAGUUUAGUCAGGGUCAAUUAAAACAAGGUUAUUUAAUAUGGUAGGAGAUUGUGUUGCUCCUGUCACUCAAAUUUUCUUCCCACAUUACCGAGUUAAAUUAUUCAUCCAAUAUGAAAGUAGAAUACCAAGAAGACCUCAUGUAGAGAAAAAAAAAAAAUAGGGGUACUAGUUGAGGUGGACAGAACAGGAUUGGCUUUUAAUUGACAGGAAAGUGUUGAUCUUGAGGUGGGAAUACUCAUUCAGAGUUCAACUGGAUUCAUAUGUUCUUAUGCAUGAAAUGGUGAAAGACUCAGAGACUGCAGUAGCUAGAUAAGGGCUUCAUUAGAGUAUGAUCUGAUGUGUAUGGUGACAAGAUCAAGUGAAUAGGGGGACACAGUUUCUACAAGUUUUUAGAGUCGAAAAUUGCAUUGCUUCUGAGUGUGGGAUUGUGUACCUGGUGGUGCGUUUACCAUGCUGAUCAGGAUAUUAUUGGUUUUUUCAUGGAAAGUAAUAAAAAAUUAACUAUCUAAAGAAAAAUAUCUACCUUUGAAGGCAACAAGUCAUUGGCAAGUUGAAGAAUCAUAGCUGAGCAGUAUAUUAGACUAGCUAAGGUCUCUAUGCCUUCCAUUGCUUCUUUUAUUAACUUCUUGGUACUUGAGAAGUAACAGUUUGUGAGCCCUAUAUGUGCUGCAACUGAAUACACUGCUUUGUCAAAAUACUCUUUUGAUGUUAGUGAAUAUUCUUGACGACUCCAUUUCACCUCCAACAAAUACGCAUCACAUAGUUCCACCCACUAAGAUCAUAAAAAAAGAAAAAGAAAAUCAGUAAUCAAAUUUUAGUAAUGCGAAAAUACCUUAAAAACAGGGGAUAGGGCAAAAGUGUGACAAAUAUAGCUUUCUUUUGGUGAGAUGUGAUACCGUAACUUUGGUCUGUUAAGACCAUUUCCUAUUAGAACCUAAACAUGUGUUAUUACGAAAAAAUUGAAAGAACUAAAAUAUAGAGCUAAUAGCAGUUAAUAACUCUCAGAGUAACCUUAUUGUGUUUGUGAAUAGCGGUGUAGGGUAGUGUUUUAUCCUGUUAAUAACUUCAAGGUGUUGACAUUGGUGGUUCAAGGUGUUGACAUUUUAUAAAACGAAUUUGCUAUGAUGUUUAAAGUUACAUUGCUUUCAUAUCAAACACAACUUUGUUAUAUUUUUUAAUUAUUCAUGUUUCUUUGUUUUUACCUGCCUAGUUUAAAUGAUCAUGCUAGUUAUCAGCUUUCUGUUCUAGUCAGUUGUUCUAAAUGUUUGUAUUUCUUGCUUUUAGAUCUACGACAUUUUUCAGCUUCUUCCUGCAAAAGUUCAGGUUGGUGUUUUCUCAGCAACAAUGCCUCCAGAAGCUCUUGAGAUCACAAGGAAGUUCAUGAACAAGCCUGUAAGGAUUCUAGUGAAGCGUGACGAGCUCACCCUUGAGGGUAUCAAGCAGUUCUAUGUCAAUGUUGACAAAGAAGAAUUUAAGCUCGAAACACUCUGUGAUCUCUAUGAGACAUUAGCCAUCACCCAGAGUGUCAUUUUUGUGAAUACUCGUCGGAAGGUUGACUGGCUUACUGACAAGAUGCGUGGUCGUGAUCAUACAGUCUCUGCCACCCAUGGAGACAUGGACCAGAACACAAGGGACAUCAUCAUGCGAGAAUUCCGGUCUGGGUCCUCUCGCGUGCUCAUCACCACUGACCUCUUGGCCCGUGGUAUUGAUGUUCAGCAAGUAUCCUUGGUAAUCAACUUUGAUCUUCCUACUCAACCAGAAAACUAUCUCCAUCGUAUUGGUCGUAGUGGACGUUUUGGAAGAAAAGGUGUUGCCAUCAACUUUGUGACUCGGGAUGAUGAGAGGAUGUUGUAUGAUAUCCAGAAAUUCUAUAACGUGCAGAUUGAGGAGCUUCCAUCCAACGUUGGUGAUCUUCUUUAAAGAGGUUUUUUUAUUGGUAUAUCUGAGGGCCUUUUUCUACUGAAGUACUAUUUCUUUUGUUUUUCUUGAGUAGUUAGUUUUGGAAUUAGCAUCUUUGGAGAACUUCUUUGACUGUCAGUAUGACUGACAUUAGCAAUGAGAAAAAUCAUUCAUUGCUCAUUUUGAAUAUUGGUAAACAUCAGUGGCUGCAAAUUUUGUCCAUUUAGUGAUAUGUAAUCUACACCUCCAAUAUCAAAGUGGUGAUGCCUUUUGUUCUCCCUUGAUUAAUAAUAGCUUAUGUUUCCCUUAGUUACAUUGCAGGUUUUCUAAUAAGAAUAACAAAUCAUGCUGCCUCUUUUUGCUGGUUUGGAUAGCCUACUGGCUUGACUUGAUUUACCAGUGAUCAAAUGUUUCAUACUUUCAUGUGACAUACCUUGUACCAGUAAUAUCCUUCAUGGUGCAAAUUGCUAGUAAUUUUUUGUCCUGUGUUCUUUUUUUCUUAGACACAUCAAGAUGAGCCUUCGUUACUAUUGUGGUGUGUCAGCUCUUUCUUUCAUCCUUUACACAUUCACAUCUCAAUGGUUUAGCCCUGUAACUGUGGCACAACUCUGUUCACUAACACAAUUUGACAGGUGAAAAUCAAGUAGCCAAGUAUAUAUUUUCAGUUUUGCCUGAGACCCACUUAACAUCAGUUCUUAAAAGAGAAAAUAGCCAUUUUGGUCCACAAACUUUCACAUAAUUUUCAUUUUGGUCCACAAAGUUUCAUUUGGUCAAUUUGGUUCGCAAACUUUCAUUAUAAGUUGCAAUUUGGUCUCAAAUCUCGUCAACUUUUAUUAAUUUUGCGGACCAAAUUGACCAACAAAGUGAAAGUUUGCGGACCAAAUUGACCAAAUGAAACUUUGUGGACCAAAAUGAAAAUUUUAUGAAAGUUAGUGGACCAAAAUUGCAAAUCAAAGUAGCCAAGUACUCAAGUAGGUAUAUGUUGUUGUCUCCCAGGUUUAACAUUUUGUAAUUUGUAAAAUGGAACUGGUGCUUGUUCUGAUCAGCCUAUAUGAAAUUCUUGUUGUUUUAUAUUUAAAAAGUACUUGAGAAAUUUUUUUAUUGAAAACUGGAAGAAAUUCAACAGUAAGGUGAAGAGAGGAAGCACUGCCAAAAGAACUUCUUACUUCUUCUUUGCACGCAGUGAGGAAGAGAGAGAAGCAAAGAAAGACGAGGAGGGCACAUUUUUUUUGCUGAUGUGGCUAAGGUGGUUGUCGCUAUAGAAUUACUUUUACCAACUGAAUUCCUAAACAAGUGUGGCUGCACUGGGAAAAAAUAUAUUAACAGGGCCGGUGUAAAUUAAAAUAGUAACAGGGGUAAAUAAGGGAAAUUGUAGAAAUUUGGGGCGGCAAAAAUCGUAUAUAUACCGAACCCUGCUUAAUUCCACGGCUCCAACUAAACCUUAAACAAAGUUUUCUACUGCACUUUCUUUUCCAAGCGAUCUUUAAUUAUCAGGUCGUUAGUUUAUUCUUUAAAUUUUGUUUUCUUCUCUCAAUAAUCAAUAUAAUUAGCUAUACUACAGAGUACAGAAUCUCUUUUCUUCUUUGUUGAGAGAGAUUUGUUUUGUUUUAUAUAACCAUGCAAUGUUUCUUGUUAUAAAUCUUGCUUUUGUGAGGGUUUUAGGAGAGAUUAUUUUUAUAGAUAUUUUGUUUUAUAUUUUUAAUAGGAACUAGAUUUUAAUUCUUUUGUAUUGUUUACUGCUUUUUCAUGCAUGAAUCAUCUUCUUCAUCCAUUCAUAAUGUGAGAUUUCUUGUUGGUUUCAUGUAUUCAUGUAUGCUUCUUUAUGGCAUGUUUCUUAAUUAUUGUUUCUAGUAUUUUUCACAAUCUUCGUACACCGGCCUGUAUAUGCGUUUGUGUUUUUAUUUUUUAUUUGUACUACUAUUUAUAUAAGACUUUUUGGCUGCAGUCAUGGCGGGAAUGGCAGAGGAAGGAUUACAAUUUAAUGCGCAACGUUAGGAUAGAAGAAUGACUGAAGUGUUAGUUCCAUUGCUUCUUUUAAAUUAAUGGUGUUUUUCAAAAAGUUCAGAUUUUAUCAUAUACACUGCAUGUUUGUUUCUAUUGAACUUAAAAAAUUAUUUGUUUGGUGUUAUUGAUUUGUAGUGAUAAACACCAGCAUGAAGGUCACAUUUAUUUUGCUUGCAUUAUAUAUAAACUGAUGAUUGUAUUUACUUUCUGUUAACUAAAUGAUUUGAACAGGCUCUCUUCGGAAGGGCAAGAGUUUUUUACAUCGUAUGAUGAGAUUCACAAAAGUUUUGAUGCUAUGAAUCUUAGCGAGAACCUACUGAGGGGAAUCUA
This 5431-nucleotide long non-coding RNA is filed under the name Aquilegia coerulea. RNAcentral describes it as "long non-coding RNA (ACOE_LNC000005)". Lineage: Eukaryota; Viridiplantae; Streptophyta; Magnoliopsida; Ranunculales; Ranunculaceae. The record is from RNAcentral.